CGGUUGUCAGUGACUCAGGCCUUGGGCUGUUAAUGCCCUGACGGCUUAUCUAACCUUUAUCUACAAGCAUGAGAAGAAAUCUAAUUUGAGCUCUGCUGCUGAUUCCUUUUGGUUUCAGAAGCUCUGGGCCAGAGAAUACCUACCAGAUCCAAGGCAUCAGAGAAAACAACAUUAAACAAGCAGACUACCCUUCCCCUUCUUGCCACUUAUGCUUUAUGAGACUGCAGUGGCCACUGUCUUCAUGUACGGUUUCAGGAACAGGAAAAAGAACACUACUACACAGGAGGAAAAGCAGCAUCUGUAUUGUGAAGCCAAAAAUGUUUCUCAUACUUUUUGAAGAAGUAGGUUUGAGUCACAUAGUCCACCUUAGCUGCAAGGAAGGCUGGGGUUAUUUGGACAAGGGUGGUCGGGCAAUGCUUAGCCCUGAGCAAAAUAAGAAGUCUCUUCAGAUAGAAGACAGAGUACGGAUACUGCAUAAGCAAACAGACAAAGAAGAUCCAGCCAGAAUGAUCAGGGAAAAAAGAAGACACAAAAUACCACUAUCAGGAAGGAAAGAGGUAUGACUCUACAGGCUCUUCAGAUAUUAAAAGUAUAAUGAGAGACUAUUAUGAACAGAAGUAUGCCAAUAAACUUGAAAAUUAAGAUGAAAUAGAGAAGUUUCUUGAAAGGACACUAAUUACCAAAGCCACCCAGGAAGGAAUAGACAAUUUGAUGAACACUACAUCUUUUAAAAAAGUUGAAUUGAUCAUUAAAAACCGUACACAAAAACACUAAACCUAGAUUGCCACAGGUGAAUUCUUUCACAUAUUUCAGGGAGAAAUCGUGUCAAUUCUACACAAACUUUCCAAAAAUUUGUAGAGAAGUGAAUUACUCGCCCAACAUAUGCUAGGAGGUUAACCUUCUUUAAAGCCAGUUUCUCUCACAAGUAUAAAUUUUAUCAAAUCAAAUCAAUAAUAUACAAAACGAUAAUAUGCCAUGACAAAAUACAAUCUUCAGAAAUCAAUUAAUGUAUUUUACCACAUAUAGUGGAUUGACAAGUGGUGGUCAACUUUUAACCCCCAGCUGAACUGAGUAAGCGUGGUGCUGGGUGUGGGAGGCCCACCUAGGGACUGUUGCCAACAGCAUAAGAGGCAGAACCGGAGAAGGAGGAUGCUGUUGGGAACUGAAAGGCUGUUUGGAGCUGGUAGAAGCUGUAAGGAGCUGUUGGUUGUUUUGGAGGAGCUCGUCAUGCUGGCUUUCCUGAUGAAGUUGGCUGUUUUCAUCCUCCGAGGAGCUCAGGAUCUUGUUGGCACUGAGAAUAGCUUCAGUUCACUUUGGGAGAGCUCUGGUCGU
Molecule: long non-coding RNA, 1332 nt
Filed under: Chinchilla lanigera (long-tailed chinchilla)
Lineage: Eukaryota; Metazoa; Chordata; Mammalia; Rodentia; Chinchillidae
Description: lncRNA (ENSCLAG00000026906.1)
Source: RNAcentral